This 804-nucleotide ribosomal RNA is filed under the name uncultured bacterium. RNAcentral's name for it is "bacterial SSU rRNA". It matches the Rfam family "Bacterial small subunit ribosomal RNA", at positions 28 to 808 of the family's 1533-position model. The record is from RNAcentral.
GACGAACGCUGGCGGCGUGCCUAACACAUGCAAGUCGAACGGAGAAUUUUAUUUCGGUAGAAUUCUUAGUGGCGAACGGGUGAGUAACGCGUAGGCAACCUACCCUUUAGACGGGGACAACAUUCCGAAAGGAGUGCUAAUACCGGAUGUGAUCAUCGUGCCGCAUGGCAGGAUGAAGAAAGAUGGCCUCUACAAGUAAGCUAUUGCUAAAGGAUGGGCCUGCGUCUGAUUAGCUAGUUGGUAGUGUAACGGACUACCAAGGCGAUGAUCAGUAGCCGGUCUGAGAGGAUGAACGGCCACAUUGGGACUGAGACACGGCCCAAACUCCUACGGGAGGCAGCAGUGGGGAAUCUUCCGCAAUGGACGAAAGUCUGACGGAGCAACGCCGCGUGAGUGAUGAAGGAUUUCGGUCUGUAAAGCUCUGUUGUUUAUGACGAACGUGCAGUGUGUGAACAAUGCAUUGCAAUGACGGUAGUAAACGAGGAAGCCACGGCUAACUACGUGCCAGCAGCCGCGGUAAUACGUAGGUGGCGAGCGUUGUCCGGAAUUAUUGGGCGUAAAGAGCAUGUAGGCGGCUUAAUAAGUCGAGCGUGAAAAUGCGGGGCUCAACCCCGUAUGGCGCUGGAAACUGUUAGGCUUGAGUGCAGGAGAGGAAAGGGGAAUUCCCAGUGUAGCGGUGAAAUGCGUAGAUAUUGGGAGGAACACCAGUGGCGAAGGCGCCUUUCUGGACUGUGUCUGACGCUGAGAUGCGAAAGCCAGGGUAGCGAACGAGAUUAGAUAGCCCGGUAGUCCUGGCCGUAAACG